This 540-nucleotide ribosomal RNA is filed under the name Shewanella algae. RNAcentral describes it as "bacterial SSU rRNA". It matches the Rfam family "Bacterial small subunit ribosomal RNA", at positions 54 to 581 of the family's 1533-position model. Lineage: Bacteria; Pseudomonadati; Pseudomonadota; Gammaproteobacteria; Alteromonadales; Shewanellaceae. The record is from RNAcentral.
CAUGCAAGUCGAGCGGUAACAUUUCAAAAGCUUGCUUUUGAAGAUGACGAGCGGCGGACGGGUGAGUAAUGCCUGGGAAUUUGCCCAUUUGUGGGGGAUAACAGUUGGAAACGACUGCUAAUACCGCAUACGCCCUACGGGGGAAAGCAGGGGACCUUCGGGCCUUGCGCUGAUGGAUAAGCCCAGGUGGGAUUAGCUAGUAGGUGAGGUAAAGGCUCACCUAGGCGACGAUCCCUAGCUGGUCUGAGAGGAUGAUCAGCCACACUGGGACUGAGACACGGCCCAGACUCCUACGGGAGGCAGCAGUGGGGAAUAUUGCACAAUGGGGGAAACCCUGAUGCAGCCAUGCCGCGUGUGUGAAGAAGGCCUUCGGGUUGUAAAGCACUUUCAGCGAGGAGGAAAGGGUGUAAGUUAAUACCUUACAUCUGUGACGUUACUCGCAGAAGAAGCACCGGCUAACUCCGUGCCAGCAGCCGCGGUAAUACGGAGGGUGCGAGCGUUAAUCGGAAUUACUGGGCGUAAAGCGUGCGCAGGCGGUUU